UGACAUUUUGACCUCNAAUCAGGUAGGACUACCCGCUGGACUAA
RNAcentral lists this ribosomal RNA (44 nucleotides) under Typhula ishikariensis. RNAcentral's name for it is "partial 28S ribosomal RNA". Lineage: Eukaryota; Fungi; Basidiomycota; Agaricomycetes; Agaricales; Typhulaceae. The record is from RNAcentral.